Pantherophis guttatus is the source of this 1017-nucleotide long non-coding RNA. RefSeq lists it as uncharacterized. Lineage: Eukaryota; Metazoa; Chordata; Lepidosauria; Squamata; Colubridae. The record is from RefSeq and is a predicted model, not a curated record.
CUCUCCUCACCUCAUCAGCAUUAUAAAAACCACCAUGAACAUCUUAUGGGUAACAUGGAUUAUGGCAUUACAGGCUGAAAUGUAGCAGGCACACAUCUGGAACUGCUGGAUGCCCACAUGUAGGAUCCUUUUAUACACCAGGGGAGGAGUCUGAGCUGUCGGGGAAUGUGGACGUCAGCUGGGGCACCAAAUACGGGUGGCAUCUGAGUAUGUGCUAGGCCCAUUUCAUGCUGGAGGCAGUCUGGAGGGGAGCUCAUGGCUGCAGUUCUCAGGCCUAGGGCUAGGCCUGCUGGUGGAGCACUUGACUCACCCCUGGUGGGUCUGGAUGCAUCGUGGGACCCUGGAAGUCACUGCUGGGCUGUGUAGUCCCCAGCGAAGAAUGGUUGGAGGCUCGGGAUCGAAACGGUCGUAAGUCGAGGAUUUUUGAGGAUCAGUGGUGCGGCAGCAGCGGUGGUGGUGAUGGCUGGUCCUGAUCCGGAUGUGCUGGCCCCUGGUCGGUUGGAGAAGCCUGGCAGAGGUCGCGGAGCAGACACACAUCUGGAACUGCUGGAUGCCCACGGGUAGGAUCCUUUUAUACACCAGGGGAGGAGUCUGAGGUAUGUAGUUGGAACUGGCUUGGUCCCCAUGUGGCCGGUCUUUUGUACCCAGGGGGAGGAGUUAAAGGAAGUCAUUUUCAGUUAAGGAGGAUCACCUGUCAACCUUGAAGCUGAUCUGACUGAGGCCAUUUUGGGGUUUCAGUGUUGCCACACUGGAGCUUGGAGAUAGGGAGGAGGAACAGAAAUAGUUGGUGGUUGUAACCAAAACAAAAUAUUUUCUUCUGGGAACAUUCCCACAGGUGGUUGGAGAAAGAGGAGUGAUGUUACCAGGCAACCGGAUGAUACCUUGAUUGAACCAUGUGACUGAUUGUUUGGGGAAGGGAGGAAACUUUUACUUUUAAUUAUGUGAAAGCCACGGGAACAUUCAGAGUUGGUUUUCACCAGCCAUACCAAAAUGAUAUAUCGAAAUAAAAUUAUUCUU